Molecule: long non-coding RNA, 269 nt
Organism: Hyla sarda
Lineage: Eukaryota; Metazoa; Chordata; Amphibia; Anura; Hylidae
Exons: 3
Source: RefSeq, a predicted model, not a curated record
AUAGAGGAUGAGAAUGCGCUGACAUAGUGAGGAGACGUCUGGGCGUCACAUUCUACAGACAGAAGUUUUAGCUGGACCAGGCGGAGGCAAGGAGUUAUUGUGUUGUCAGAAUAGUGAGAAUAACUGAAAACCAACCUCUCCCAUCUCCCACCUCUCAGGAGGGAUUCCCUGGAAUUUUUUGGCUGCAGUCCAAACAACAGAUGAUAAAAAUGGACCGGCGAAAGAGGCUUAUUAAAAGCAAAUAGCCCCCUGACAUGUUUCGCUCCUCA